This is a long non-coding RNA of Mustela erminea (ermine), 2441 nucleotides long. RefSeq lists it as uncharacterized. NCBI's taxonomy places the organism in Eukaryota, Metazoa, Chordata, Mammalia, Carnivora, Mustelidae. The transcript has 9 exons. The record is from RefSeq and is a predicted model, not a curated record.
CCUGCAUCAGGAUUUAACCUCCUCCCCACCCCGUUGGUCCUUAAUUCGGCUACUUCGGCGGGGGCGCUCCUUAAAGGGCUGAGCGCUUGUCUUCCAGGGGCGCCUUUCCUGACUUUCCCGGUGCAAAGGCGGCCGAAGCGCGCCUUCCGUCCCCGGAGCCACCCGACAGGAGGAGACAGAACUUACAAUCUACUUUUUCAUGAGGACCUGGUAUUGUGAAAGUUGACUAUGGUCUCAAGUAGAUCCUGUGACUGGGACGAUGUGGCAGUGAUGAGUCAGUCUGUUCUGAAGCUGCACUGGGGACAUGAUGUGACAUCGAUCUUUGCCUACCUAUCUCCCAACCACCAGCAUUUUUGCCAACAAUUUCCUCCAAGAAAGAAAGUGGAAGAUUUUUCAAGAUGCAUUUUCAUCAUGGACCAGAGACUAGGAUAAAGAAAGCAGUCUGCAUGAACAAUCAAGACCCCUAUGAAACAGGAGGUCACAGAGAGCAAGAUGGCGGCAAUGGUCAACCAGAUGACCGGCGUCCAUGAGCCUGAUGUCAGAUGGUUCCCACUGGAUGCAAUCUCCCAUCAUGGAAAAUGGCAUUCCGUAGAAAUGGUCAAAUCCGUGGCUGAUGGGAUGGUGGCAGUGAUCAUCGGAAGAGUCACAGUUGAGGCCCAGAUGCCAUUUUCCUGAAAGGCAAAGAGGAUUCCCAUGUCACCACCGGUUGAUCAUUGAGCCACAGUUAGACGUGAAAGAGGACAAACCUGAUCUGAGAGGGUAUCUGCCCGUUAGGAAAGCAGCCCUGCUUGGGGUACACACUGAUGCAGCUGCCACGUGCUGGCAGCCAAUGUCGCCAAUGCCAAAAUCAUCUGCCAUCAGAAGAAGGAUGUUUGGACGCCCACCAGAUAAAUCCCUGCAAGCUGAGGGCCUCACACCUAGAAGCAUGCCGACCGUCACAGCCAGCCAGCUCCUGAAAGACAAGUGGGUCUUUUGAGGUUCCAGCCCAGAGCAGAGACACUUGGUGGUGGCACAUCAGGAGAAAGAAUUGCCAUGGAGCUUGGGGGCUUUCCCACCAUCAUCACUAUCAUAACCCCAUAACCAUGGUAACCAUGGAGCCCCUCCUCUCUCUUUAUAUGGAAGCCACCUUGGGCUCAUGCAUACACAGCAGAACAAGAGUGCUGUCGUCCCCAGUGCCAUGGACUAAAGGUGAGAUCUGAGUCGCCAAAGAUCUGCAAUAUGGACUCCCUGGAAAACCAGACAACUGGGUUUGGGAAUAGGGAAGCAGACUUCCUUCAGAAGAUCCAGAUGGGGGGUGUGGAUCAUUGAUAGGAAUCCCAGUCCCACGAUCACUGCCCCAGAUGCAUCAUCAGUGACUAGAUGAACAAGACCACUUUGUCCAUGCACCCUGACAAGGGACAAAAAGAAAUGUAGAAGCAGAAACAGAAGAUUAAGCAUCGCAUGUAAUCCUGUCUUACCAAGAGUGGUCCCGAGGUAACAUGUUCUCUCCUGACUUUUAUUGCCUGGAAGAAAUAAAGGAGGUCUAUCAUAACAAAGGCAGCAGACAUGCACUAAUUCCAUCCAUAAAAUACUAAGUAUUUAGCAAAAGGGAGACUUUGAUUCUCUCGGAUGAUAUCAACAAAACCUUAAAACAAUGACCAAAACUCAUAAAAAGAAUGGCCUUCCCCCAUUAAAAAGGCUUUUAAGAUGCUGAACACCAUGUUAAGAAUGUAGAAUGUAUGACUUCCGAGGGCCGGAUGAUAUGGAUUUGGGUGUUUUUUGUUUGUGUUUGUGUUGUUUUUGCCCAGGUGAUCUCACUGUCCCACUGAAACUCUCGUCCCCAGUAAUAUGAAAUCCCCAUCCCACUCCCAACUCCUGGCUCAGACAUUAGGGGAAAGCCAACUUUGGAUUCUUGGAUCAUGACCUUGAUCAGCUCAGCCCUUGCAGUGACCUUGAAGACCUACUCACGAGUUUGUUUGAAGUGAUGUUGGCUUCCACGGUGGGGGGAUACCUCUGACCGGGGAGGCCUCCGCCCUCCCAUGAGCACCACCUUACCCAUGUAAGCUGUUCCCGAGAGAGCCAGUGGGCUCUGUGUCCUUCAAGUGCAGCCUGAACUUUCUGCCUCCUUCAUAUUCUGUGGACCUCAGUCUUUGGCCACAGGUGGUACGGGCAUCUUUCCAAACUUCCUAGCCAUCUCAGGUGACUUCUCACACUUUUGCACACAGUAUUUGCUUCACCUCAAGGAAAAGGCAAUGAGCCUCUGGUCAACCAUAUGGCUGUUAUGUGCAGCAGGGAUAGGGCAAAGCUUGUGCAGAGAUAGACCUCAUGGGAUAGGUUCCUUAGUGGGCUGUAUGUAAACAGCACAUCCAGCAUAGGGAAGUUUCCACGUGUGAUAAAACUGGAUGGGUUCCACCACUGGACCAUGUCUAGCACCAAGCCAUGGCUGUUUAUUUGCUUCACUU